AACGUGCUGAACUCUGCCCGGCUGCUGGGCGACGCUUCGGUUUCAUUCACUAAUAACUGUGUGUCUGGAAUCGAGGCCAAUACAGAGAGAAUCAACAAGCUGAUGAACGAGUCUCUGAUGCUGGUGACGGCGCUGAACCCUCACAUAGGUUAUGAUAAAGCCGCCGCUAUUGCAAAGACGGCGCACAAAGAGGGCUGGACUCUGAAAGCCACGGCCGUGAAGCUGGGAUUCCUGACGGAGGAGCAGUUUGAGCAGUGGGUGCGACCGCACGACAUGCUGGGACCCAAAUAGAUCGGAAGCUCACGGGAAUGCUGCCUCUGUACAAUAAAAGACCUGUUCUGUUCAAAUGCAUGUGGUUUCUCUCAAUCACUGCACACUUUCAGACACCGGCUGAGCUCUUAAAUCUGUCGUGACGGACGCUAAAGUUUAUUUACAUUUAUUCAUAUGACAGACGCGAUUCACAGUGUGUGCAGGGUUUAAUAUUUGAUCAGUGUGUGUGAGUUACCUGUGGCUGCAUUAAUGUAAGAUCAAGAGUAUAAAGUCAUCGGAAAAACUAAUAU
Long non-coding RNA from Sinocyclocheilus grahami, 560 nucleotides. RefSeq lists it as uncharacterized. The transcript has 2 exons. The record is from RefSeq and is a predicted model, not a curated record. Lineage: Eukaryota; Metazoa; Chordata; Actinopteri; Cypriniformes; Cyprinidae.